RNAcentral lists this ribosomal RNA (253 nucleotides) under uncultured bacterium. Its description in RNAcentral is "partial 16S ribosomal RNA". It matches the Rfam family "Bacterial small subunit ribosomal RNA", at positions 524 to 776 of the family's 1533-position model. The record is from RNAcentral.
UACGUAGGGUGCAAGCGUUGUCCGGAAUUAUUGGGCGUAAAGAGCUCGUAGGCGGUUUGUCGCGUCUGCUGUGAAAACCCGAGGCUCAACCUCGGGCCUGCAGUGGGUACGGGCAGACUAGAGUGCGGUAGGGGAGAUUGGAAUUCCUGGUGUAGCGGUGGAAUGCGUAGAUAUCCGGAGGAACACCAGUGGCGAAGGCGACUUCCUGGCCUGUUCUUGACGCUGAGGCGCGGAAGCUGGGGGAGCAAACGGG